UCCAUUUUCGAUACAAUUAUUUGUAUCCAACGCACGCUUUGCCGUUGCUCUAAUCCAUUGUCGUCAAAGAAGCUCCAAGCGAACAGGCUACAACAUGAAACGCUAGAUUGAAAUGGAAACCCGUCCAACGCAAGGACUAACCGUGUGUUGUGGGUGACACUCGGGUAUUAUCAUACGUGUUUCCCGCCUACAAUUCACACCAAACUUUUGGCGGCCAUGUUGAAUGUAAUGCGCGUGCCCAACUCCCCGCAAGGAAAACACAAGGUGUAGGCGAGUGACGGCUCGAUUCAGAUGUCGAGCACACUUACACGGCCUUAUAACGUCCCCCCUCGCACAUGAGACUUUGUCCAUACCCAACUUUGGUUUCCAUAAGAGAAAAGUGAAGAGGGAGGUUGGGGGGAGGAUGAGGAGGAAGAGAAGGAAUUUUUCAAAAAACCUGUACUGGUUCUUCGGUCGAGAAAAUGCGUGUUUUAUGGCAGGACUAAUUUCUUGACUUUCUUGAAACAAGAUUAGCUGCAUAGAUGGGAAAAAUUGCCAAUCAAUAAAACGCAAGACUUAAACUUUUGGGUACCCUACCUUGAACCACAAAAUUGUAGGCCUUUAUGGUAAUCAUUAAAUGUUGUGCAUUUCCCCUGGUUGGUAUGGAGCCUGGUCUUGGGAUCCAUGUAUGGCGUUGUCUGCGCGCUUUCACCUUAAAGUCAACGUUAAGGUGAAACGGGUCAACAGUCGUUUGUCUGCCGUUCACGAGACCCAUGUUCGUGGUACUUGCAACACUGGGGAAAAAAGUUUUUCGUCUCGACUCCGUUUAUUGCGUUAUAUAGCUUUCGACUAACGGCAUUAGUAACGAAAACUUUUUUCAUGACGAAAUGGAACGUUGGCCAUGAAAAUUGGUUGCUGUUAGCUAUAAAAUAGUCGUCCUUUCCAUUCUUGCUGAUGCAUGUGUUGAAAACGAUUUAGACACAUCGACCUUAUUCUUUAUUGUAAUGAGAAGUUGGUUGUAAAAAUCUCUACAGUUUUGGCUGGUGCUUACACACCUGAGGCUGGAUGAACAAAGACUUUUCUAGUGAAAAGCAUGGGGUGUCGGAUAUGCGUCUCUCAUUUAGUUACAAAACACACAAAGACUCAGUCUUCUAGAGAUACCAUUUAAAGAUUUGUUUUCUCGUUUAUUGUUAUGAGAAAGGAAUCAAAUAACCAAAACAAUGAGAAACUUAUACAUGGAGAGAUGAACAAUAUUAUGUGUACAUGCGCAUUUCAUGCUUGAAAAGCGUUGAGAAAGCUACACUCGUGACGAAACUUGGAGUAAUCACGGCAUUCGUGUUAUCAAGUGGCAUUAAAUUUUGGUUUUUUCAUUCAACACGACCGCUACGAAAAUGAGAAAAUUUACGUAGAAAAAAAUAAAUAAAUAAACGGAUCUUCUAGGAGUAGGGUUUAUCUUUUUUUUUUUUUUCGUUUUAAUCACAUAAUGGAUUAGAAUUAACAUACAUGAGAGGUCUGUUGUUUAAUUGUCCUCACUUUCUUUUCCAUGA
Long non-coding RNA from Daphnia pulicaria, 1526 nucleotides. RefSeq lists it as uncharacterized. The transcript is spliced from 3 exons. NCBI's taxonomy places the organism in Eukaryota, Metazoa, Arthropoda, Branchiopoda, Diplostraca, Daphniidae. The record is from RefSeq and is a predicted model, not a curated record.